GGUAACGGCCCACCAAGGCGACGAUCGGUAGCCGGACUGAGAGGUUGAACGGCCACAUUGGGACUGAGACACGGCCCAGACUCCUACGGGAGGCAGCAGUGGGGAAUAUUGCGCAAUGGGGGAAACCCUGAUGCAGCGACGCCGCGUGGAGGAAGAAGGUCUUCGGAUUGUAAACUCCUGUUGUUGAGGAAGAUAAUGACGGUACUCAACAAGGAAGUGACGGCUAACUACGUGCCAGCAGCCGCGGUAAAACGUAGGUCACAAGCGUUGUCCGGAAUUACUGGGUGUAAAGGGAGCGCAGGCGGGAAGACAAGUUGGAAGUGAAAUCCAUGGGCUCAACCCAUGAACUGCUUUCAAAACUGUUUUUCUUGAGUAGUGCAGAGGUAGGCGGAAUUCCCGGUGUAGCGGUGGAAUGCGUAGAUAUCGGGAGGAACACCAGUGGCGAAGGCGGCCUACUGGGCACCAACUGACGCUGAGGCUCGAAAGUGUGGGUAGCAAACAGGAUUAGAUACCCUGGUAGUCCACACUGUAAACGAUGAUUACUAGGUGUUGGAGGAUUGACCCCUUCAGUGCC
This 574-nucleotide ribosomal RNA is filed under the name uncultured bacterium. Its description in RNAcentral is "bacterial SSU rRNA". It matches the Rfam family "Bacterial small subunit ribosomal RNA", at positions 256 to 847 of the family's 1533-position model. The record is from RNAcentral.